AUGCUCUGUUCGAUAGCACCUAUACUAAAAUUGGAACAAUACAGAGAAGAUUAGCAUGGCCUCUCACAAGGAUGACGUGCAAAAUUGUGAAGAAUUCUAUAAUUUA
Molecule: non-coding RNA, 106 nt
Organism: Canis lupus familiaris (dog)
Lineage: Eukaryota; Metazoa; Chordata; Mammalia; Carnivora; Canidae
Source: Rfam